Paramuricea clavata is the source of this 275-nucleotide non-coding RNA. Lineage: Eukaryota; Metazoa; Cnidaria; Anthozoa; Malacalcyonacea; Plexauridae. The record is from the annotation of a GenBank genome assembly.
UGUAAAUAACCUGUCGUGAGUACUCGCGUCAGCACCUUGCGAUUCACAAAAUCGGGAGAAAAAUCUGUAACACUAACACAGAUUUUUCUCACGAUUCAACGAUUUUUCUUCCGUUGUAAAGUUGUUGAAAACUUUUCGCACGCAGAAAACUAUAAUAUGAACAGACGAGAGAGCGGGCAGCUUCAAUUGAACGUUUAAAUCGCUAAAUGUCGAAGAAGGGGCAUCGAUUAUUUACCAAAAUUGGCCCGACAAAUCGCAGCGUGUAAACGUAGCUU